UUUUAUUGGAGUAGCACCCAAAAUAUUGGGACAUAUAAAAAAAGAAAAAAAAGAAUAAGUACACUUGAGUAUAACAAUGGCUGGGUGAGGCCGGUAUAAAUUUCUAUUCUGCACAAGGUACAGACAAGUCUGGUGGGAUCCAUGCCUGGUUCAUUUUAAUAAAUGUGAGCUUGUCCAUGUUGGCCGUGGACAAGCGGCUGCGCUUGUCUGUGAUAAACUUGUGCCGAUCGCAUGUCCCCGUGAUGGCGACAACUCAUUCGGAUGUCUGUCCUAUCAACUUUCGAUGCUAUUUUCCAUGCCUACCAUGGUGACCACGGGUAACGGGGAAUCAGGUUUCGAUUCCAGAGAGUGAGCCUGAGAAACGGCUACCAUAUGCAAGGAAGGCAGCAGGCGCACAAAUUACCCACUCCCGACGAGGGGAGGUAGUGACGACAAAUAACAAUACACUACCCUUUCGAGGCCCUGUAAUUGUAAUGAGUCUAUGCUGAAGCUGCAUCAAAGUCCUGGUA
This 509-nucleotide ribosomal RNA is filed under the name Pelobates cultripes (western spadefoot toad). It matches the Rfam family "Eukaryotic small subunit ribosomal RNA", at positions 115 to 550 of the family's 1831-position model. Lineage: Eukaryota; Metazoa; Chordata; Amphibia; Anura; Pelobatidae. The record is from RNAcentral.